RNAcentral lists this unclassified non-coding RNA (168 nucleotides) under uncultured Sebacina. RNAcentral's name for it is "sequence contains ITS1". The record is from RNAcentral. Lineage: Eukaryota; Fungi; Basidiomycota; Agaricomycetes; Sebacinales; Sebacinaceae.
AUGAUUGCGAAUGGUCGCCUUCAGUGCUGGCUCUUGCAAGUGCACGUUGGUGGCUUUCAUCCAAUACCCUCUGUGAACCUUUGGCCUCUUGCUCGCUUCGGCUGGCAGAGGAUUUUUACACACACUCGAAUGUAAUGAAAACUAUUGUCGUGCGCAAGCACUAAUGUA